UUGUGUCGCUAUGCGCCGUGCUAGGCUAGGUAGCCUGCAUGGGGAAAGUUCGGUGAAAAACCGGCGCUGUCCCGCAACUGUGAUGGCAAUCUCUAACAAAGUUUCUUCAAUAUAGUUGCUUUCUUUUGCCUGAGCCAGAAUGCCUGUGCGGGUUUUCGCUACACU
Molecule: non-coding RNA, 165 nt
Filed under: Synechococcus sp.
Lineage: Bacteria; Bacillati; Cyanobacteriota; Cyanophyceae; Synechococcales; Synechococcaceae
Source: RNAcentral